Molecule: ribosomal RNA, 274 nt
Filed under: uncultured bacterium
Lineage: Bacteria
Description: partial 16S ribosomal RNA
Rfam family: Bacterial small subunit ribosomal RNA
Source: RNAcentral
AUACGGAGGGUGCAAGCGUUAAUCGGAAUUACUGGGCGUAAAGCGUACGUAGGCGGUUCGGUAAGUUAGAUGUGAAAGCCCCGGGCUUAACCUGGGAACUGCAUUUAAAACUGGCGAACUAGAGUUGAGUAGAGGGGAGUGGAAUUUCAGGUGUAGCGGUGAGAUGCGUAGAGAUCUGAAGGAACACCAGUGGCGAAGGCGGCUCCCUGGACUCAAACUGACGCUGAGGUACGAAAGCGUGGGUAGCAAACGGGAUUAGAAACCCUAGUAGUCC